This 618-nucleotide ribosomal RNA is filed under the name uncultured bacterium. RNAcentral describes it as "bacterial SSU rRNA". The stretch from base 1 to 540 matches the Rfam family "Bacterial small subunit ribosomal RNA", at positions 338 to 873 of the family's 1533-position model. The record is from RNAcentral.
CCUACGGGAGGCAGCAGUGGGGUAAUUUUGGACAAUGGGCGCAAGCCUGAUCCAGCAAUGCCGCGUGAGUGAAGAAGGCCUUCGGGUUGUAAAGCUCUUUUGUCAGGGAAGAAACGGUGGGAGCUAAUAUCUCCUACUAAUGACGGUACCUGAAGAAUAAGCACCGGCUAACUACGUGCCAGCAGCCGCGGUAAUACGUAGGGUGCAAGCGUUAAUCGGAAUUACUGGGCGUAAAGCGUGCGCAGGCGGUUUUGUAAGUCUGUCGUGAAAGCCCCGGGCUCAACCUGGGAAUUGCGAUGGAGACUGCAAGGCUUGAAUCUGGCAGAGGGGGGUAGAAUUCCACGUGUAGCAGUGAAAUGCGUAGAGAUGUGGAGGAACACCGAUGGCGAAGGCAGCCCCCUGGGUCAAGAUUGACGCUCAUGCACGAAAGCGUGGGGAGCAAACAGGAUUAGAUACCCUGGUAGUCCACGCCCUAAACGAUGUCUACUAGUUGUCGGGUUUUAAUUAACUUGGUAACGCAGCUACGCGUGAGAGACCGCCGNGGAGGUACGGUCGCGAGAAUAAACUACGAAGAAGUAGACGCGNGAGACGNGACGACGACGACGACGAGGGAGGAGG